This 499-nucleotide ribosomal RNA is filed under the name uncultured Methanosaeta sp. RNAcentral's name for it is "bacterial SSU rRNA". It matches the Rfam family "Archaeal small subunit ribosomal RNA", at positions 483 to 981 of the family's 1478-position model. The record is from RNAcentral. Lineage: Archaea; Methanobacteriati; Methanobacteriota; Methanomicrobia; Methanotrichales; Methanotrichaceae.
CUCGAGUGGUAACCGUUAUUAUUGGGUCUAAAGGGUCUGUAGCCGGCCGGAUAAGUCUCUUGGGAAAUCUGGCAGCUUAACUGUCAGGCUUUCAGGAGAUACUGUCUGGCUCGAGGCCGGGAGAGGUGAGAGGUACUUCAGGGGUAGGGGUGAAAUCUUGUAAUCCUUGAAGGACCACCAGUGGCGAAGGCGUCUCACCAGAACGGACCUGACGGCAAGGGACGAAAGCUAGGGGCACGAACCGGAUUAGAUACCCGGGUAGUCCUAGCCGUAAACGAUACUCGCUAGGUGUCGGCCACGGUGCGACCGUUGUCGGUGCCGUAGGGAAGCCGUGAAGCGAGCCACCUGGGAAGUACGGCCGCAAGGCUGAAACUUAAAGGAAUUGGCGGGGGAGCACCACAACGGGUGGAGCUUGCGGUUUAAUUGGAUUCAACGCCGGAAAUCUUACCGGGACCGACAGCAAUAUGAAGGCCAGGCUGAAGACUUUGCCGGAUUAGCU